This is a long non-coding RNA of Boleophthalmus pectinirostris (great blue-spotted mudskipper), 176 nucleotides long. RefSeq lists it as uncharacterized. The record is from RefSeq and is a predicted model, not a curated record. The transcript is spliced from 3 exons. NCBI's taxonomy places the organism in Eukaryota, Metazoa, Chordata, Actinopteri, Gobiiformes, Gobiidae.
AGGAUUUAUACAUUUUAUUUUAAGGAUUUAUACAUUUUUAUUUUAAGGUUUUAUACAUUUUAUUUUAAGGAUUUAUACAUUUUAGACACACGACAGGAGAAAGGAACAGGUUUGGAGUGAGUUAGUUUGAGGUUUGGCUGUGAGUUGUGAGUUGAAUCUGAGUUCUUUAAUCUGAG